This 494-nucleotide ribosomal RNA is filed under the name uncultured bacterium. Its description in RNAcentral is "partial 16S ribosomal RNA". It matches the Rfam family "Bacterial small subunit ribosomal RNA", at positions 28 to 507 of the family's 1533-position model. The record is from RNAcentral.
GACGAACGCUGGCGGCGUGCUUAACACAUGCAAGUCGAACGGAAAGGCCUGCUUUCCCUUGUGGAUUGCGGGUACUCGAGUGGCGAACGGGUGAGUAACACGUGAGUGAUCUGCCCCCAACUUGGGUAUAAGCCUGGGAAACUGGGUCUAAUUCCCGAUAGGACUGCAGGGUGGUGCCUGUGGUGGAAAACGAUUUUCUAGUGGGUGGGGAUGAGCUCGCGGCCUAUCAGCUUGUUGGUGGGGUAAUGGCCUACCAAGGCGGCGACGGGUAGCCGGCCUGAGGGGGUGGACGGCCACAUUGGGACUGAGAUACGGCCCAGACUCCUACGGGAGGCAGCAGUGGGGAAUAUUGCACAAUGGGCGGAAGCCUGAUGCAGCGACGCCGCGUGGGGGAUGACGGCCUUCGGGUUGUAAACUCCUUUCGACCGCGAGGAAGCCACCUGGUUGGAAGGGUGGUGACGGUAGUGGUAGAAGAAGCACCGGCUAACUACGUG